Long non-coding RNA from Rhinopithecus roxellana (golden snub-nosed monkey), 867 nucleotides. RefSeq lists it as uncharacterized. The record is from RefSeq and is a predicted model, not a curated record. Lineage: Eukaryota; Metazoa; Chordata; Mammalia; Primates; Cercopithecidae. The transcript is spliced from 5 exons.
CUCCGGCUCUAAAACUUGCCACAGUCUCUCCUUCUGCUUUAUGCCCCUCGGUUGAAUUCUUUCUUCUGAGCAGGCAAGAGUUGAGGUUGCUGCAGACCCUACGGAUUUGCCACAGGUAACAGAAGCAGACGGCUGCCUCAGGGGAAUGUUCACAAAAGGCACUUCUGCAAAAGGGCUGCCUGAGCUCAGCUUUGAGAUUUGAGUAGGGCUUGUCUGCUCAGACAGAGGAGUCCUGAGCCUGGACCCAGGUGGUCCCACAAGAGAUAUGCUGAAGUGUUCAUUGUGGAACAGAGAGUUUGUGAAGACUUGAAGCUACGUUCACAAAUGCUCUGAAGACAGAACUUUUAUAUUUUGAAAACAGAGUUAUGCUGCCGGUCAAGUUGCCUAUGACUAACGCACAAGGAUCAAGAAUUCUGACUUAGGUCACUGAAUCAAGAGAUGGCCACACCCAGAGUUAUGCAGAUAACUCCACAUGCCCCAGAAGUCCAGAUCACCUCGGAGGUGCUGAAUGCAGUGAGCAGGUGUGUUUCUGUCAGAGUACUUUGAAAACCAUUACAUUGAAAAUGUUGCUAUCUUCUGUGUUUGAAGGUGGUCUGCUGCCUUUAUUCAACAGAAGACCAGAGAUCCCACCCACGCAUGGUAUCUGAAGGACUGGAGGAGGAAAAAAAGACAGCAAGUGGAAGUGCCCUCAUUUGAGACUGCAUUUGAAUGAGCAGUAAGUAGUGGGUAGUUGAACCUAUAGAGGCUGAAGGGCCUAGAGGCAUUGUGGACAAGGCUCCUUGGCAGCUGAAAGAUGAGUGGUGUGCUAUGAAUCCCAUCUUACCUAUAAGAAUGGUACACUUUAAUUGGAGGGUUCUUAUGGUUUUU